UACAGAGUUCAUGCCCGAAAGGGUAGACCUCCCACCCUUGUGUAUUAUUACUUUGUUGCUUUGGCGAGCUGCCUUCGGGCCUUGUAUGCUCGCCAGAGAAUACCAAAACUCUUUUUAUUAAUGUCGUCUGAGUACUAUAUAAUAGUUAAAACUUUCAACAACGGAUCUCUUGGUUCUGGCAUCGAUGAAGAACGCAGCGAAAUGCGAUAAGUAAUGUGAAUUGCAGAAUUCAGUGAAUCAUCGAAUCUUUGAACGCACAUUGCGCCCCUUGGUAUUCCGGGGGGCAUGCCUGUUCGAGCGUCAUUUCAACCCUCAAGCUUAGCUUGGUAUUGAGUCUAUGUCAGUAAUGGCAGGCUCUAAAAUCAGUGGCGGCGCCGCUGGGUCCUGAACGUAGUAAUAUCUCUCGUUACAGGUUCUCGGUGUGCUUCUGCCAAAACCCAAAUUUUUCUAUGGUUGACCUCGGAUCAGGUAGGGAUACCCGCUGAACUUAAGCAUAUCAUAAGCCCGGAGGAA
Molecule: ribosomal RNA, 513 nt
Filed under: Botrytis cinerea
Lineage: Eukaryota; Fungi; Ascomycota; Leotiomycetes; Helotiales; Sclerotiniaceae
Description: eukaryotic LSU rRNA
Rfam family: 5.8S ribosomal RNA (bases 150-303)
Source: RNAcentral